CUGUCUGGGUACACUAAAAUAGUCGCAGGUACCAUUGGGGUUGCCUCGUUUCGAUUUUUCUUGUUUCGAUUAAAAGUGCCAUUUGGUAUGUCUAUACAUUGUGUGGUUAGUGUUAAAACUAAGCCAGGACUAAAUAAAAAAUCAUUUGUAUUACACUUCUGACAGAGUUAUGUUUUGUAAUGUAUUUAUUAUUAUAUGUUAAGUCUUAAAUAUGCAUAAUUGUGAGUACCACAGUUUUAAGGCCAGAGUCGGAAAAUAUCAAAAGAUUUAUAGCCUUAUUAGUUGUUGAAAACAAUUUAAUUAUCAUUUGUAUUAUGAGUUACUCACAUAUGCAAAAUAAGAUCAAUUUAUUAUAAAAAGCUACACAAAAGACACAAUCGGUCAUUACUUUUCUAGGAAUAGUGUAUUCUCUUGUACGCUAUAUGCCUCCGGACGUACAAACCUUUUUUAGUAUUCAAACACUUUUUGCUAAUUUGUAUUUUAACUAAAGCUAACAUUGUAUACUGAUAAUACUCGCCUUUUGGAUUGUUCCCUAAUUUGUGUUCGUUCCAGCUAUUUUGUGUUCGUUUCAGGUGUCUUGUGCCCGUCUUAUAUUAACAUGUAAAAUAAAUAAAUGUAUUAAUAAAAUACUUAUACCUUAACAUAAUAGACAAAGACUGGCCUCUAAAUGGCUAGAUUCCCCAGCAUAAGCAUUUUAUACAUUUAAAUCGCUUGGUAAUUUUCCAUAUUCUAUUCAAGGAGUCGAUUCCAACUAUACUCCCGAUAUAACUAAUCAGUCCAGAACUUACAUACUUCCAAGUUAAUGUAACUCCACUAAGUGAUAUAAGGGAUUUGAUUAUUCCUAAUUGUGAAAACUUUUUUUGCUUGUUUUGUAAUAAAUUGCAAUCAAAAUUCGUUCGUCACUUCCAUAAUAAUAAGCCACAAGUAAAAAAGUGUUAAUGCCUGUCGAAAAAUGAAAAAACUUGAAAAGUAGUUAUUAAUGAGAUUUGGAGUAAUGGCGAUUAAAUCGACAAUAUCGAUGCAUCGUUAAAUAGCGAAAUUUUAAAGCGAAUUAACUCUAAAAACGAAUAUGUUGUCAUAUGUUGCAAGGGAUGUUCUGGAUUUUUUCCCCAAAAGUACAAUACGCAGUCAUAUAAAUAAUUGCAUAGGCGGCGAUCAUAAGAAAGGAACUCCUGACUUGCUUAAGCAAGGUCGCUCUAAAACCGGCUCUAUGCAUAAAAGUGCAAGUGACGUUCUCUUGCAAGCUAUAUGCCUCCUGACGUAUUUAAACCGUUUUUGUUAAUUUUUUUAUUUAUUUACUAAGGCUAUUUUUAUAUACUUGAUAUUACUCAAAUUUUAUUUUGUUAACUGAUUCGUGUUCAUUCCAGCUAGUUUGUGUUCGUUUCAACUGUCUUGUGCUCGUCUUAUAUUUAUAUAUUUCUAACAAAGAUGCAUCCGAACAAUUUAUAAACACAACUCAAAAUGCAUCGGCUAAUAGUGGAUCUUUAGGACUUAACGACUUUGGCUCUAAUUGUUUAGAUUCAUCGGCAAAAAAUCAAAAUCAUUCCACGAUAAACGAUUCAUUUCAAUCGCUUAAUACUAAUUGUCCAGAUUCCACGCAAGGAUUCGAUUCCAGUUAUGCUCCGGAUAUAACUAACCGGUCCAGCAUUUUAAAUAAUUCCAACAUUAAACAAGUUUUUUCUUACACAACUGAAACUCUACUAAGUGAUGUAAGGGAUUUAAUUAUUCCAACUGCGAAAACCCAAACAAAUUGUAAGAAACAUUUUUGCUUAUUUUGCAAUAAAUUGCAAACAAAAUUGGUCCCGUCACUUGCAGAUUGUUCAUAAAAAUUAGCCGCAAGUACAACAAUUUUUGUUCCUGUCGAAAAAUGACAAAGCUCGUAGAUUACUUAUUGAUGAGAUAUGGAAAAAUGGUGAUUAUAAUCAUAAUAUCGAUGCAUCGUUAAAUAACGGAACUCUAAUCGUGCCUCGUCAAAAGCGUGUAAGCUCUAAGAACGAAGCGGUUGAUUUCAUAUGUUGCAAGGGAUGUUCCGGAUUUUUCCCCAAAAGCACACUACGGAGUCAUAUUAAUAAUUGCAAAGGGAGCGAUCAUAAGAAAGGAACUCGUGACUUGCUUAAACAAGGUCGCUCCAAAACCGGCUUCAUCCAUAAAAGUGCAAAUGACGUUGUGCGCACAAAAAUAAUGCCUGUUUUAAAUGAUGAUCCCAUUUCUAGAAAUCUUAUAUAUGAUGAAUUGAUUGUUUUAUUCGCAAACGCAGAAUCUAUGAAGCACGGCGAACUUCAGUACGAUAUGAUCAGAGCAAACAUGAGAUUGCUCAGCAGACUUUUACAUGAAAUAAAAAAAUCAGAAUCUAAUGAGAUACAGGAACUUAAAGACGCCAUUAAUCCCAAACAUUUGGAUUUGAUGAUAUCUUGUAUCAGAAAAGUGGCUCAGUGGGACUCUUCUUCGAUGUUUUUUAAAACACCUUCAGUUGCAACGAACCUUACAACUCUAAUUAAAAAGUGCGCAAAAAUAUUGUGGACUCAUUGCAUUAAAACACAAAAUCAUGCAAAAAAAAAUUAAUUAAAGAUUUUCUUGUUCUAUGGGAAACCGAAAUUCCUCUUUUUAUAAACAAAAAAGCUAUAGAGGACCAGUCAAAGAAAAAAAGAGCCCUACCAACUAUUUUACCAUGUAAAGAAGACAUCAAAAAACUGUUUGAUUAUGUGAUAAAAAAAUCGGAAAGCACUCUGAGUGUGCUAAAAAUUAAGUUUGAUUUUUUAAAGAAACUAGAGAAAUCGCUCAAAAAUACACAAGAUUGACUAUUCGUGGAAAACUCAAUCGAACUGUGCCAGUGCUGCUCACACCGUUUGACAAUUAUUGUAUAGAAACUAUUCUCAAACAUCGUAAAAGAGCUGGUGUUAAAAAAAAUAAUGAUAACAUAUUUAGCGUGCCUAACGCCAAGCCCUUAGCAAAGCAAUAUGUAAGGGCUUGUCCGAUUCUACAGAAAUUUGCCCAGGAAUGUGGGCCUCGCUGCCCAGGGGCUUUACGGGGAACGAUGCUUCGAAAGCAUUUAGCUACCUAUACAUCGAUGCUUAACGUCAAAGAUUUCCAAAUUGAUAGGCUUGCCAAUUUUAUGGGUCAUCAUAAAGAUAUACAUAAAGAAAUCUACAGAAUCCCUGUAACAGUAGCGGAGAUAGCCGAAGUAUCCCAGAUGCUUAUGGCAGCUCUUGGAAAUAAUGUUGAGGAUGAAAACACAGUAGCCCUUGAUCAGUUCGAAGAAAGUAAGUACAUAGAUUCAUCAAGUUUGUGGGUGAUACUAAGAGUAGUUAUGGUGAAAAAUGUAAUAUCUUAACUUAACUAAUAAUUACUUGUCCGGCUUAUUGUGAAUGUUUUUACAUUGUACCUGAAAUCCAUUUUGCAAAUGAUCCUUUAGAGGAUUCGGAAUCAGAUUAUUCUGAACAGCGAUCAGAAAGCGACUUCAAUAUUUCCGAUGAUGAAAUUGUAGAAAAAUCGAACAAAAAAGGAAAGCGCCCAAGUAGUAAGUAUUAAAUUGCAACCUACAUAUUUAUGUCACGUGCUUACAUGCAUCGCGUUUAGGCUAUACUAUUUAUCCUCAUUGACAAAGUAAAAAGAGAUAUCGUGCUUGUGAAAUGUCCGAUCGUCUGUUCAAACGAACGCGAUAUUUUGCUGGCCCUUUAAAGUUAUAUCGACGAGAAGUAAAGUGCUAAGAUUAUAUAAUGACGACCACUGCGUCGUGGUAAAUCGCAAAAAUCGUCCUAAAUAACAAACCUUAUAAAAUCAUAGAGAUUGACUAACUUUUAGUUGAAGACGAAGAUGUUUAACUGGGUGCGUGGCGAAUGUUUAAAAUUAGUAUCACCUAAUAAAUUGUUCUGGUAGGCUGUAUUAAAUUCAUAUUGUUAAUUUUACUUUAACCUAAGAUGAUUUGAAACUGCAUUCAAAAA
Non-coding RNA from Drosophila virilis, 3941 nucleotides. The record is from RefSeq and is a predicted model, not a curated record. NCBI's taxonomy places the organism in Eukaryota, Metazoa, Arthropoda, Insecta, Diptera, Drosophilidae.